This 335-nucleotide ribosomal RNA is filed under the name Daboia palaestinae (Palestine viper). Its description in RNAcentral is "partial 12S ribosomal RNA". The record is from RNAcentral. Lineage: Eukaryota; Metazoa; Chordata; Lepidosauria; Squamata; Viperidae.
UGACGGUACUUCACCACAMCCUAGAGGAGCCUGUCCAGUAACCGACGACCCACGAUUAACCUCUCUCUUUCUCGCCAACAGUCUAUAUACCACCGUCGUAAGCUUAUCCUAUAAAAGAACCAAAAUGAGCUAAAUAGUUUAACACUAAAAUGACAGGUCGAGGUGUAACUCAUGAAAGAGCAAAGAUGGGCUACAUUCUCUCAUCAGAGAACACGAAUAUCACUAUGAACAUAGUGAUUGAAGGUGGAUUUAACAGUAAGAUAAGAAUAAAAUACCUAACUGAACACACAGCAAUGAAGUGCGUACACACCGCCCGUCAUCCCUGCCAAUACUAU